This 1002-nucleotide long non-coding RNA is filed under the name Sus scrofa (pig). Its description in RNAcentral is "lncRNA (ENSSSCG00025032332.1)". Lineage: Eukaryota; Metazoa; Chordata; Mammalia; Artiodactyla; Suidae. The record is from RNAcentral.
AAAACCCUGGGAUGCAGCAGACAGAGGGGAUUUGGGCUGAGUCUAUAAACACCAGCAACAGAACUGGAAGCUGCUUUUCAUUUUUGUUGAGCUACAAUCCACAAACCAUCAAAUACACUUUUUUUUUUUUUUUUUUUUUUUUUUUUUAGGUCCGCACCUGUGGCAUAUGGAAGUUCCCAGGCUAAGGGUUGAAUUGGAGCUGCAGGAGAUCUGAGCUGUAUCUGUGACUUAAGCCAGAUCCUUAACCCACUGAGUGAGACCAGGGAUCAAACUCGCAUCCUCACAGACACUAAUUGGGUUCUUAACCUACCGAGCCACAAUAGGAACUCCAAAACACAUUUGUAAAAUAACACGAUUCAAUGGUUUUGAAUGCCCUGAAAAAGCUGUACAACCAUCACCAAUACUAACUCCAGUAUGUUAGAUCACACCCCCAAAGAAACUCCAUAACCAUUAGUGGAGACUCCCCAUUUUCCCCUCGCCUCAGCUUCUGGCAAAUACUCAUCUGCUCUGUUGCUAUGGAUGUGCCUAUCCUGAACAUUUCACAUACAUGGAAUCAUACAAUAGGUAGCCUUUUGUGUCUGGCUUCUUUCAUGUUGGCUUCAACAUCCAUGUAUGCUGAAGUAUGUAAGUUUAUCUCUUUUUAUGGCUGAAUAAUAAUCCAUCAUGUGAACAUACCACAUUUUGCCUACAGUUGAUGGGCAUUUGGAUCCCAGUUUCUAUUUUUGAGCUGUUAAAAAUAAUGCUGCUAUGGAGUUGUACAUCUUCCCCUCUUCCCUGUGUCACCGGGUGUCCACAAGCUGUGAGAGGCCAUGGUGAGUUUGCAUGCCCAAGUCACAGAGCAGACCCUGGAGAGGCAGGGAGUCCAUGAUUAGACUGUAAAUAAUGCAGAUAUUUGGGGGUGAGAGGGACAUGGAGUCCAAAGCCAGACGGUCAGAACUGAUCACACCUGUCCCUCUUGUGGGACCAGAAGGCAGACACCACAGAAUUCCUCAGGAGCAGUUC